Molecule: ribosomal RNA, 466 nt
Filed under: uncultured bacterium
Lineage: Bacteria
Description: partial 16S ribosomal RNA
Rfam family: Bacterial small subunit ribosomal RNA
Source: RNAcentral
GACGAGCGCUGGCGGCGUGCUUAACACAUGCAAGUCGAACGGAAAGGCCCUGCUUGCAGGGUACUCGAGUGGCGAACGGGUGAGUAACACGUGGGUGAUCUGCCCUGCACUUCGGGAUAAGCCUGGGAAACUGGGUCUAAUACCGGAUAGGAGCCAUUUUUAGUGUGAUGGUUGGAAAGUUUUUUUCGGUGUAGGAUGAGCUCGCGGCCUAUCAGCUUGUUGGUGGGGUAAUGGCCUACCAAGGCGGCGACGGGUAGCCGGCCUGAGAGGGUGGACGGCCACAUUGGGACUGAGAUACGGCCCAGACUCCUACGGGAGGCAGCAGUGGGGAAUAUUGCACAAUGGGCGCAAGCCUGAUGCAGCGACGCCGCGUGGGGGAUGACGGCCUUCGGGUUGUAAACUCCUUUCGCUAGGGACGAAGCUUUUUGUGACGGUACCUAGAUAAGAAGCACCGGCUAACUACGUG